This 71-nucleotide transfer RNA is filed under the name Loxodonta africana (African savanna elephant). It matches the Rfam family "tRNA". From Rfam's summary of the family: Transfer RNA (tRNA) molecules are approximately 80 nucleotides in length. Their secondary structure includes four short double-helical elements and three loops (D, anti-codon, and T loops). Further hydrogen bonds mediate the characteristic L-shaped molecular structure. tRNAs have two regions of fundamental functional importance: the anti-codon, which is responsible for specific mRNA codon recognition, and the 3' end, to which the tRNAs corresponding amino acid is attached (by aminoacyl-tRNA synthetases). tRNAs cope with the degeneracy of the genetic code in two manners: having more than one tRNA (with a specific anti-codon) for a particular amino acid; and 'wobble' base-pairing, i.e. permitting non-standard base-pairing at the 3rd anti-codon position. The record is from Rfam by way of RNAcentral. Lineage: Eukaryota; Metazoa; Chordata; Mammalia; Proboscidea; Elephantidae.
GCGGUGUUGGCUCAGUGGUAGAAUUCUCACCUUCCAUGUGGGAGACCCAAGUUCUAGUCCUGGCCAAUGCA